AGCCUCGUCAGGCUCAGUCCCCUCCCGAUAAACCCUUAAAUAGGGACUUUCCCGGGGGGUGAUUCUGGCUUUUUUGGC
This is a microRNA precursor of Otolemur garnettii (small-eared galago), 78 nucleotides long. Ensembl annotates it as microRNA 484. Its record names the gene MIR484. NCBI's taxonomy places the organism in Eukaryota, Metazoa, Chordata, Mammalia, Primates, Galagidae. The record is from Ensembl.